CUCAGGUUACUCUUGAAGGUUUGGAUGUUGGGGUAGUGAGUUCCAGUGUAGGGGAGAGGAAUAGAUAAGUUUUUACCAUGCACUGGUCAGGCAGAAAAAGAAUGGAGAGAUGAACACUUGCUUGACUGUAACAGCUGUAGAAGUAAAUGGAGGGAACCUGGAUGCAG
Bufo bufo (common toad) is the source of this 167-nucleotide long non-coding RNA. RefSeq lists it as uncharacterized. The record is from RefSeq and is a predicted model, not a curated record. The transcript is spliced from 3 exons. Lineage: Eukaryota; Metazoa; Chordata; Amphibia; Anura; Bufonidae.